UGGGGAAUAUUGCACAAUGGGCGCAAGCCUGAUGCAGCCAUGCCGCGUGUGUGAAGAAGGCCUUCGGGUUGUAAAGCACUUUCAGCGAGGAGGAAGGUGGUGAGCUUAAUACGCUCAUCAAUUGACGUUACUCGCAGAAGAAGCACCGGCUAACUCCGUGCCAGCAGCCGCGGUAAUACGGAGGGUGCAAGCGUUAAUCGGAAUUACUGGGCGUAAAGCGCACGCAGGCGGUUUGUUAAGUCAGAUGUGAAAUCCCCGGGCUCAACCUGGGAACUGCAUUUGAAACUGGCAAGCUAGAGUCUCGUAGAGGGGGGUAGAAUUCCAGGUGUAGCGGUGAAAUGCGUAGAGAUCUGGAGGAAUACCGGUGGCGAAGGCGGCCCCCCUGGACGAAGACUGACGCUCGGGUGCGAAAGCGUGGGGAGCAAACAGAUUAGAUACCCUGGUAGUCCACGCUGUAAACGAUGUCGAUUUUGGAGGUUGUGCCCUUGAGGCGUGGNUUCCGGAGCUAACGCGUUAAAUCGACCGCCUGGGGAGUACGGCCGCAAGGUUAAAACUCAAAUGAAUUGACGGGGUC
Molecule: ribosomal RNA, 574 nt
Filed under: uncultured bacterium
Lineage: Bacteria
Description: partial 16S ribosomal RNA
Rfam family: Bacterial small subunit ribosomal RNA
Source: RNAcentral